Molecule: ribosomal RNA, 1118 nt
Filed under: Campylobacter jejuni
Lineage: Bacteria; Pseudomonadati; Campylobacterota; Epsilonproteobacteria; Campylobacterales; Campylobacteraceae
Description: partial 23S ribosomal RNA
Rfam family: Bacterial large subunit ribosomal RNA
Source: RNAcentral
GUCAUCGUAGGGUUAGUCGGGUCCUAAGUCGAGUCCGAAAGGGGUAGACGAUGGCAAAUUGGUUAAUAUUCCAAUACCAACAUUAGUGUGCGAUGGAAGGACGCUUAGGGCUAAGGGGGCUAGCGGAUGGAAGUGCUAGUCUAAGGUCGUAGGAGGUUAUACAGGCAAAUCCGUAUAACAAUACUCCGAGAACUGAAAGGCUUUUUGAAGUCUUCGGAUGGAUAGAAGAACCCCUGAUGCCGUCGAGCCAAGAAAAGUUUCUAAGUUUAGCUAAUGUUGCCCGUACCGUAAACCGACACAGGUGGGUGGGAUGAGUAUUCUAAGGCGCGUGGAAGAACUCUCUUUAAGGAACUCUGCAAAAUAGCACCGUAUCUUCGGUAUAAGGUGUGGUUAGCUUCGUACUAGGAUUUACUCCGAAAGCGAAGAAACUUACAACAAAGAGUCCCUCCCGACUGUUUACCAAAAACACAGCACUCUGCUAACUCGUAAGAGGAUGUAUAGGGUGUGACGCCUGCCCGGUGCUCGAAGGUUAAUUGAUGGGGUUAGCAUUAGCGAAGCUCUUGAUCGAAGCCCGAGUAAACGGCGGCCGUAACUAUAACGGUCCUAAGGUAGCGAAAUUCCUUGUCGGUUAAAUACCGACCUGCAUGAAUGGCGUAACGAGAUGGGAGCUGUCUCAAAGAGGGAUCCAGUGAAAUUGUAGUGGAGGUGAAAAUUCCUCCUACCCGCGGCAAGACGGAAAGACCCCGUGGACCUUUACUACAGCUUGACACUGCUAUUUGGAUAAGAAUGUGCAGGAUAGGUGGGAGGCUUUGAGUAUAUGACGCCAGUUGUAUAGGAGCCAUUGUUGAGAUACCACUCUUUCUUAUUUGGGUAGCUAACCAGCUUGAGUUAUCCUCAAGUGGGACAAUGUCUGGUGGGUAGUUUGACUGGGGCGGUCGCCUCCCAAAUAAUAACGGAGGCUUACAAAGGUUGGCUCAGAACGGUUGGAAAUCGUUCAUAGAGUAUAAAGGUAUAAGCCAGCUUAACUGCAAGACAUACAAGUCAAGCAGAGACGAAAGUCGGUCUUAGUGAUCCGGUGGUUCUGUGUGGAAGGGCCAUCGCUCAAAGGAUAAAAGGUA